Molecule: long non-coding RNA, 1326 nt
Organism: Herpailurus yagouaroundi (jaguarundi)
Lineage: Eukaryota; Metazoa; Chordata; Mammalia; Carnivora; Felidae
Exons: 3
Source: RefSeq, a predicted model, not a curated record
CUUCCUCCUAGCCUCGUGAGACCUUGGACACUUGAUUUACCCUUUCUGUGCCUCAGCGUCUUGGGUGAGAGUUGUACUUGUCCCCUAGAGUUAGAACGCGGACUGAGCUCCGUAAAAUGGUGGUUGAUAUCCCCAUUUCAUGGACCAGGAAACUGAGGCUCAGGAACUUUGGUGAUGUGUCCAAACUUCGGCAGGGCCAGGAGCAGGGCCAGGAGCAGGGCCAGGAGGCAGCGGAGGCUCAGGGAUGAGGGGGCUGUGGAGUGGGCCUCGUUCCCUGGCCACAGAGGCAGGAUCCGAAGGCUGGUUGCCUGCCUGAACCCAUCAUGCCUCUCUCCAAGAAUAAUACAUGACCACGACGUUCCAGAGCAGCACUCUUUGGAGGGCAUUCUGCUAGGAACCAGCCCAUUUGUGGAGACAGCAACACCCAGCCAUGUCUUGUGCUCUCCUGUCCCACCACCUCCUCUCCAAGCCUCCGGCUCUGGCCCCCAGGGAACUGCAGACAGACACAGGCCCUGGAGAGCCGCAAGUUCUCCAGGGCACCUCCUCCAGCUCCAGUGGCUUUUCUCUUGAGUCUGCUUCAAUCCCAGUUCUCCCGGAUUCACAAAGGACCACAGGCGUCUAGCUCUCCUGGGGAUGUGACAAAACCCCCAAAUAUACUCCUAUUAUUUGUUAAACACACACAUGCUCUCUGCUAGCUCUUUAGGAAGGAGAACAGGUGUCCAGAGUUUGAAAUCAGCCCUUAGAACCAGACUAAAGCAAAAUCAGGAAUUGAAAGAGGCCUGCCUUCCCCUUUCUUCUUUCUCAAAGUUCUUCUCUACCUUGAACCAUUAAUGCCUCCACCUCUUCCGAGACAUCCUGCAGGGGCCCAGCUGAGGCCUGCCGCUAUCCUGGGCUCACUCUCUCUUUCUACUCUCCACCGCAUAGAAUUCACAGGGCUUCUUGACUAUGACCCAAGAUUUCAAAUUGAGAAGCUCUGAUAAAGUCCUUCACGCUGAGUCCUUCACUGAGUACCUGCCAAAGGUCAUAAACCCAAAACACUGAGGCUGGAUGAGUAUAAUUUGGGGUGGCUUUUCUGAUACCCCUCCCCAAAUCAUCGACCUUGUUGUCCCCUCAAGCAGAAGUACAGGGCACUGUGCAGUAAUUGAGAACACCUAAGAAUUUUCUUCUCCUGUAGUUCUACUGUCAGUCUCGGAGACGAGUCAAGGGAAGUCUCCAGGAUCUGAACACUGAUCUAAUUAACGCUCGUUACCCAGGACCUUGCUUGGGACACGUCUUGAUUCGGGGCUACCCGGACAGAAGAGAUGACCGCGGUGGCAGCAUACCACG